This 253-nucleotide ribosomal RNA is filed under the name uncultured bacterium. RNAcentral describes it as "partial 16S ribosomal RNA". It matches the Rfam family "Bacterial small subunit ribosomal RNA", at positions 524 to 776 of the family's 1533-position model. The record is from RNAcentral.
UACGUAGGGUGCGAGCGUUAAUCGGAAUUACUGGGCGUAAAGCGUGCGUAGGCGGUCCCGCAAGUCCGCUGUGAAAGCCCCGGGCUUAACCUGGGAAUGGCAGUGGAAACUAUGGGACUUGAAUCUGGCAGAGGGGGGUGGAAUGCCACGUGUAGCAGUGAAAUGCGUAGAGAUGUGGCGGAACACCGAUGGCGAAGGCAGCCCCCUGGGCUGAGAUUGACGCUCAGGCACGAAAGCGUGGGGAGCAAACAGG